UAAACUAAUUAUCUUGUACCUCCUUUCGCCACAUCAUCAUUCACCUUUCAUAACCGCGGCGACGUGUGGAGAAUCUUCCUAGUUUUAGAAUGCCUAUUACAUAUUAUACAAUGCAAGUGCUUCAUAUAUAUCGAGGUGGAACUAAUAAUACAUAAUGCGUGUGACGUUGCUCAUUCGAAAAAAAAACUGAAAGACGAAUGAUCAUGAAAACAAAAUUAAAUUAAGGGCUGUCAUCACCACAAAAUCAAAGGGCGUAGCACGCACGCACGCACGCACUAUAUUGGGUGACGCAUGUUACAUAUACAUACAUGAACCAAAAAAAAAACAUAGAGGAAAGAAAAAAAAAAACAAUUAGGCAAGCACAUUCCAGCAUAUAUACGUUUGCCGCGGCCGCGCGCGCACCCAUCAGGCCGGGUGCAGCACAUUAUUAUUCCAGAGAAUCAUAAUUUUGCCGGAUCGGAUUAUAUAUAUAGGUAGAUCACGCCAAGAACUCGAUCGCCAUAGAUGCAUGGAGAUCUCUGUCGGCGACGGCGACCCGUCGGUUAGUCGGAAGAGCUGCUGCUGGAGGGUGCGUCCGACGACGAUGACGACGACUCCGGGGACGAGGCGUCGGGGCUGGGAGCGGGCGCGUCGGAGGAGGACUCCAUGGACCUGCCCUCCACGAUGUCGGGGCGCGCCGCGUCGACGACCGUCGUGAGUGGCGCCACCGCGACGGCGGCCAGGAGGAGCACGACGAGGAACACGCAGGCGCGGGCCAUUGCUGCUGCCUUGGUGGCGGUGCGUCGGAGCGAGAGUGGCAGCUGUGUUUCUUGUUUGCUUGCUGUGUGUUGCGAAUUGCGAUGACGGUACCAGGCGGCCGGCCGCGGCCUUUUAUAUACGAUACGAGAUACGAGACCGGCCGUGUGUGUGUUGUGUGGUUAUUUUUAGGGGAGGCCGGGGAGAGGCCGUGCAUGCGUUCCCUGCAGCUCCAGGCGCGCCAAGCGUUUGGUGGCAUGUAGAUCCUCCCGUCCGCGUGUCGUGUGGUCGCGCACGACGACCCUCGCAUGACUCGGGCGGAUGCACGAGUCUUUCGGCCAUCUGCCACACGCCCAAACGACGGCGACUUAUAGUGGGAGAAGAAGCCGCACGUACGCCAUAAAAAAUGGCAAACGAAGGUCACGGUCCGGCACGGCACGGCUCGAUAUAUAUUAUUUUUGCUAAAAUUUUUUAUAAAAAUAAGUGAUCAAAAUUGUGCUUUGGAGAUCGUGUCGUUGUCGUAAACGACUUCUAAAUCUUAUACGGAGGGAGUAACAUGACAACUUGCAAGGACACAACUUAUGUUGAUAUGGAUACAUGAUGUAAAUGUGGACUCGUUGUCUUAGUCGUGCCAAACCGACUUGUAGGCUUGAUGAGACCGUCGUGCCACCAUGGAAAUGAGUCGAGAGGAAGUGAAGGAGGGGAGAGGGGAGCACGAUGGCAACUGAAGGUAGUGCGGCAGUCGUCAAGAGAGGGUCAGUUUGGACAUGUGGGUGUCAAUUGGGUAGAGCUAAGAGUUAUGAUUAUAUGGAAUGUGAGAGAGUUAUAUAUGAGGACAUGUCUUUCUUUAGUGGAAUUUUCGUUAAUCAUACCAGCACUAUGGACCAAGAGAGUGACCCAAACACGCUCCACAGGUCGGGCCAAGCACAAUUCGCAUCAAGGUGUGUCAUGGCUUGACCAUACAAAAGUUGCAAACCGCCUGCUAGCCCAUAUCGAUACGAUCAACAAUACUAUUGAUGCAGGGUUCCCAAUCUUCUUGUUAUAGGAUAGAAAAGGGGGGAUAACUUGAUCCGUGCAACCUGACGAACCAAUGGCACCAACAGCCACUCUGGGUAGCCACUUGUGACAAAUAAAUUUGCCCAACCACACACAGUGGAUUGAUGUCUACCUGAACCAAAUAAAGGUAGAUACAAGCUCUUGCAAAGGAUACACAAGAACAAGUGGAAGAGAAAACUCUCAAUCCUCAAGGUGGUAGCUAUGGCACAACACUAUAUAAGGACAAGAGCACUUGGCUUCUUUGUUUUUCUGAGUUCAAUUUAUGGUUAGGGUUGCAGGGAUUAGUGGGGGUGUUAUUUAUACUAGGAACAUCCCUCUUAGUUGGGCUGAAUGGGUUGGUUUUGGCCCAGUUCGACAACAAUAGAGUUCAGCACCAGUGUUCACUAGAAUAGGUAUAACUCAUCCUACAAAGCUCCAAACGAUGUGCCGUCAGUUGCAUAUAAAAGUAGACUUUACCAUCUUUUAUAUAUAUAUAUAUAUAUAUAUAUAUAUAUAUAUAUAUAUAUAUAUAUGGUACAUUUUCUAUACUCCUAGGAGUAAUUACUCCCACCAUUUAGUAUGCGCAAGGGAGGGCCAUCCAGUGCCGCAGACUUAGCUAAUGGGGGGCUUCAGGGAUACUUACCGGGUUUGCGGGUCGAGAGUAUGUACGUGAAGGGUGGAGAAAAAAAAUAUAGCUGAUAACUUCCGUAAAAAAGAGAUAAGGUUUAGUCGUUGGCUGUUGACGUUUGUUUUUACAACAAUUUUCUUUUGACGUUGGGUUGGCAUGCGGUUGGCCGGUUGGGUACAUAUUUUUUAAACUAUGUGUAUUAAAUAGUAGUAUGUAUAUAUACCCGAUUUUCUAAAGUAUGUAUGGAUACUUUUUGCAGCGAUGUGGUUGUGCAUAUGUGCAUAUACCUAAUUUUUUUUAAGUAUACACAUACUUUUUUUCAUAUAUAAAAGUACAUAUUCAUACUUUUUUAAAGAGGAGUAUAUAAGCAUACUUUUUCCUGAAAGGAGUAUUUAUUCAUAUACUUUUAUAUAUGGAGUAUGUACACAUACUUUUUCUAGAUGAUUUACAUUUAAUGUGGACGUUUUCUUCUCAGUGGGUUGUACACUCACUGAAUGAUUGUAAGCUACUUGAUUCAUUUAGAUCAUACUCUAUUUCUUUUCAGAAAGUCUUUCGAUAUAUUCUUGACAAAUGGAGCAUACUUUAGUUACAAAGAUUCUCUGUGUGAAUUACAAUUGGAGCAUACUUACAUAUAUGCUAUGAGUAUAUACGAGUAUGAUUACAUGACCAGACAAGCCUAUUUGAUCUCCUAAUGGAUUCAAACAGGCACUAAAUAGAGGAGUGCACACACUUUUCGAUUAAUUGACUAUGCAUGUAUGCUAGUAGAUAAAGCAGAUUUGUACCACGCCGCUGCCGCAAUACUACUCGGUGAUGAACUGGCAUUAUAAUCUGAAACAACAAAUCUGAAAAGUAUCAGCAGACUAGAAUCUGAAAAGUAUCAGCAGAUACUAUGAAUCUGAAAAGUAUCAGCAUAUACUAGAGGCAUUGAAGAACAAACCUGUGCCUAUGCCGUGCAGCCGACACGGCUGUGCAUGCGCCGCCGCCGUUUGGAGCUAGCGUCGGUCACCCAUAUGGCUUGAGUCGCCCGGCCAUGGGGAGCAUGUCGCCGUCGUGGCCUAGCCAGAGGAUGCCAGUCACGCAGAGGAGAGCACCAUGGAGGGUGCCGUGCGCAGGGACCAGCAGCGCGCCGCUGGGGGACACCACCGCAGGGGAAUGCGAAGUCGUGCUGCCGCCGAUGGACGCAGCCGAUGGGUGAGCCACGCGGGGGGUGGGCUGGGGCCAGGCAUUCCACUGCUAGGGGAUCCGCGCAUGGUGCUUGCACGAGAUGGUCGGGGGCUCCACUGCCGUGGAAUUAGAGGCGCCGCCGCCAGGAGGUCCAUGGGGCGCCGCCGCCUGGAGGUCCACAGGGCGCCACCGCCACCGGCGAGAGAGGGCUCGCCGCCACUAGGAGCCACCGAUGCCAGGAUGGCCAUGCUGAGGGAUUCCAUCGUUGCAUCACUAUCGGAAUGGGAAGGCAGGAAGCAUCGUGGUCCAAUCCACAUCCACCAAGGGGCGAGGCGCCGCCGCCACCAGCAUGCGUGAGAUCCAGAAAUAGGAAGAAGAGAAAUCAAGAGAGAGAGAGGAAAGAGAAAUGAGUAGACUAGUGUAUUUUACGGGGCAAUAGAUGAUCCUAGAAUUUAGUAUUGUAUAUUUUCUAAGCGGGUCUGCUUGUUAACCCGGUAAGAAAAAUAUGAGGAGAUAGGUGUAGUAUAUGUGUCUGGUUGAAAGAGGGAGUAACUACUCCUAGAGAGUAGAAAAAAAUUUACCAUAUAUAUAUAUAUAUAUAUAUAUAUAUAUAUAUAUAUAUAUAGGGUUGGAACCAUCGAGAUUGGUACCAAAUUCACCAUGAAUCUGGAAGUCAAAAUCUAGGCAGCAACACUCAUCUUCAACUUGCUUUCUAUGGACACUGUGGCCUAUCCAUCCAUGGAGUAUUUUGUAAAACCUGAGUACAUGUGUUGCACCUCUGUUAGGCAGUAAAUCAUUCCUAGUGGAUGUAUGCUCAUAAUCAAUAAGGAGCGAAUUCACCUUAUGUUGCAGUCGAUGCGCUCUCGCCCGAGUCAUUGGACCCUUGUAGACAUUACAAGGCUUGUUCAACACAUGGUUGUGUACUAUUAUCAUGAUGGAUGUCCUCAUCAACUACUCUCUUCAUCGUAUAAAGAAUGUGAUUCUCACUUCUCAAUUUUUUAACGUUGACCAAAUAUAUAUAGAAAAACAUUCAUACUUAUGUUGCAUAACUAGUAUCGUUAGAUAAAUCACAAAAUAUGUUUUAGUAAUAAAUUUAUUUAAAGAUACAAAUAUAGGUAAUAUUUUUUAUAAACUUAGCUAAACUUUUUAAAAAAUAACUAGCACAAAUACCAUAGCGGCACUUUUUUUAGAACUACUAGGGUGUUAUUUAUAACACGGUUUAUUUAGCACACGGCUCCUACUUCAAGAUCCACGCAAAAGAUUUGAACUUGUGAAAUACUCCUAGUCCCGAAUAAAUAGAUUUUUAGAGUUACCUUAAGUCAAAUUUUUUAAAUGUUGAUUAACUUUCUAGAAAAAUCGCUAAGAUUUAUGAUAUUAAAUUAGUACCAUUAGAUUUACCAUACAAUAUAUUUUCACAAGAUGCUGAUUUUACAUUAUUGUUAUUCUUUUUGUAUAAAGUUAGUUAAACUUAAAAAAGUUUGAUUGACACAAACUAUAGGAAUUGAUUUAUUUAGGGAUGGAGAGAGUAAACAGAAUGUUUUAAACAAAUGCACAUAGUCCACAGUAAUACUCGUCUUGUCCUUAAAUAUAUGUCGUCAUGGUUUGUGUGUUGAUAAAUUUAACUAAAUUUAUAGAAAAUAUUAGCAACACAUGUAUCUCUAAAUAAUUUUUUUUAUAAAAAUAGAUUCAAUGAUCUAUAUUAUGAUAUCAAUUAUGUAACAUAAAUAUCAGCAUUGAUUAUAUAUAUUUAGUCAAAGUUAUUUUUCAGCAAAUUAUCAGCCUGUUCGUUGGGAUGAUAAAUUAUAGCUGAAAAUAUUAUUUGCUGAUUUGUUGUGGAGAAAAACACCUAAAGCGAACAGGUUAUGCUUACUUCUUACUUCUUACUGGCUCUGUUUAGAUUUGAAUUUUUUUGGCCAAAGUGGUAACAUUUUUUGUGGUCAGAACUUUAGCUCAGAAGUCUGACACACGCGAAAAAUUUUAGGUGUUUAGUUUGGUAAAAUUUUUUCUGACACAACUUGGGUUGCAUUCAGUUGCAGUUGUCAUUGGUGGGCUUUUAUGGGAGUGCGUGCAGAGUAGCAGGCCCUGCAGCCUAAAAUUUUGGCCCCAAAUUUUUUUGGCUCCGUUUAGUUCCCAGACCCCAAUUCCACAAAAAAUUUCUAUUUUGGACAAAAAAAUUCAAAUCUAAACAGACCUAGUCAUUCUUUUUUUUUUUGACAACGUACUUCUUAGUCAUUCAACGAGCCCAUAGGUCGAGUCCAUCACAAGCGCAACGGUUGCACUCGCCGCAACGAGGCGUGCGUCAUCCACCGAAGAUCUUGCCACCUUUUGAGAGAGAGGUGUGAGAAGAGGCGACGAUGGUGAGUAAGAAGAUGCAAUAGAGGUGAGGAUAGAGAUCUUAUCAGCCCAAAACGACGCUCAUUGUCAAUAAUUUGGGGAAGAGGCUCACAAGCCUCUGGCUUGGAGGAACAAUUAUGAGCGUAUUUGAUUUGCAGACUUAGGAGGGCCAGGCCACCGAGCCAGGCCUAGGCCAGCUAUGGCCUGGCUGUCAUGGGCCAAGACCCUUGUUUGAUUGUAUUUUAGGAAAAACCGUUGGUCAAGAUGAUCUUUUGUUUGAUUCCCAUUUAGAAACCUGACUAGCAACCUACUACUAGCGUCAGCCCAAAAAUGGCCCGCGCGAGCUCGAGCUCAGCCUGGCUUGAAAAAACGAAGGAGAGGAGCGUUUCUAGGGAGAUAAGAGGGAAGAUAUUUUACAGCCUAAGAGACAGGCCAGGAGAUGGGCCAAAUGUAUCAAACACUAUCUCUUGCAGCUUCAGAGCUUGGCUACGGAAUCUUAGCCAUAUCAAACACGUCUUAUAUGUAUGUGCCGCUGGCCUCGAGGAAGAGUUGACUCUACUUGCCACGACUUGGAGGAUGAGAGGCGUGCUCGUGUCGCUGGUUUGGAUGAAGAACCAUAUGUGCCACCACUUAGGAGAGGAAGGGGCUUAGCAGCUUGGGAUGGGAACAUGGCAAAUAUUCAUGUUCUCAUGUUCCACGUUAUUAUUCUGUUUCCAUGCUAUUCUGUAUUAAGAAUGACAACGAGAAUAUGGUUGCUCAGGCAAGGGGACCAUGCGCGACUUGAAAGAAUCUAGUAUAUGGCUAGACAUGGUGAAUAACAUAUAAAAUUUUUAUCUAUAAUUGCACAAACACUACUAGAGCAAAACAAUUAGAACAAAUAGGCCCUAAUAGCAAAACAAUUUCAGAAAGCCCGUUGCAUUAAGAUACAAAAAGUUGCUCAUUCGGAAACCUGGAAGACAAAAACAAAAUUAAAGGGCUAUCAUCACCACAAGAUUAAAUUAAAGAGCGUAGCACGAACUGUAUAUAUAUUGGGUGACGGAUGUUACAUUAUUAUACUACAUAAACAAAAAGAGACAGAGAGCCAAAGAAGAAAAAAAAACAAUUAGGAAAGCACAUUCAUGUGUGUGUUUGCCGCGCGCACCCAUGCACGCACAUUAUUGUUGGAAAGAAUCAAAAUAAGGGAAAUAGUUUUGCUGGAUCGGCCGGAUAGAUAUGACGCCAAUUGCCAAGAACUCGAUUGCCGUAGAUGCAUGGAGAUCUCUGAGCGGCUAGUCGGAAGAGCUGCUGCUGGAGGGUGCGUCCGACGACGACGACGACGACUCCGGGGACGAGGCGUCGGGGCUGGGAGCGGGCGCGUCGGAGGAGGACUCCAUGGACCUGCCCUCCACGACGUCGGGGCGCGCCGCGUCGACGACCGUCGUGAGCGGCGCCACCGCGACGGCGGCCAGGAGGAGCACGACCAGGAACACGCAGGCGCGGGCCAUUAUUGCGACGCUGCUAGCUAUCUGCCUUGGCUGCUUCUUGCUUGCUUGCUGCUGCUGUGUGUUGCGAUUGCGAUGAUGGUACGCGGUGGAGUGCGGAUGCUUAUAUACGAGACCGUGUGGCUAUUUUUAGGGUAGUGGGAGGCUGUUUCAACUCAAUUCCCUUGAGGCGCGCCAAGAGCUCCUCUCGCGCGUGUCGCGUGGUCGGUCGUGCACGACCUUCGCACGACUCGUUCACGCAUGCAGGAGUCUGUC
RNAcentral lists this long non-coding RNA (7632 nucleotides) under Sorghum bicolor (sorghum). RNAcentral's name for it is "long non-coding RNA (SBIC_LNC013418)". The record is from RNAcentral. Lineage: Eukaryota; Viridiplantae; Streptophyta; Magnoliopsida; Poales; Poaceae.